Molecule: ribosomal RNA, 361 nt
Filed under: uncultured bacterium
Lineage: Bacteria
Description: bacterial SSU rRNA
Rfam family: Bacterial small subunit ribosomal RNA
Source: RNAcentral
GACGAACGCUGACGGUGUGCUUUAGACAUGCAAGUCGAACGAGAAAGCCCUUCGGGGUGAGUACAGUGGCGAACGGGUGAGUAACACGUGGGCAACCUGCCCCUCGCAGGGGGACAACCGGAGGAAACUCCGGCUAAUACCCCGUAAGCUUGUUGGGUCGCAUGACCCUUCAAGGAAAGGUAGCUUCGGCCAUCCGGCGAGGGAUGGGCCCGCGGUACAUUAGCUAGUUGGGUGGGGUAACGGCCCACCAAGGCGACGANGUAUAGCUGGUCUGAGAGGAUGAUCAGCCACACUGGGACUGAGACACGGCCCAGACUCCUACGGGAGGCAGCAGUCGGGAAUCUUGCGCAAUGGGCGAAAG